AGUGAACGCUGGCGGUAGGCCUAACACAUGCAAGUCGAACGGCAACACAGUAAGAGCUUGCUCUUACGGGUGGCGAGUGGCGGACGGGUGAGGAAUACAUCGGAAUCUACUUUUUCGUGGGGGAUAACGUAGGGAAACUUACGCUAAUACCGCAUACGACCUACGGGUGAAAGCAGGGGAUCUUCGGACCUUGCGCGAUUGAAUGAGCCGAUGUCGGAUUAGCUAGUUGGCGGGGUAAAGGCCCACCAAGGCGACGAUCCGUAGCUGGUCUGAGAGGAUGAUCAGCCACACUGGAACUGAGACACGGUCCAGACUCCUACGGGAGGCAGCAGUGGGGAAUAUUGGACAAUGGGCGCAAGCCUGAUCCAGCCAUACCGCGUGGGUGAAGAAGGCCUUCGGGUUGUAAGGCCCUUUUGUUGGGAAAGAAAAGCAGCAGGUUAAUACCCCGCUGUUCUGACGGUACCCAAAGAAUAAGCACCGGCUAGCUUCGUG
RNAcentral lists this ribosomal RNA (492 nucleotides) under uncultured bacterium. RNAcentral describes it as "partial 16S ribosomal RNA". It matches the Rfam family "Bacterial small subunit ribosomal RNA", at positions 29 to 507 of the family's 1533-position model. The record is from RNAcentral.